AAAUUGAAGAGUUUGAUCAUGGCUCAGAUUGAACGCUGGCGGCAGGCCUAACACAUGCAAGUCGAACGGUAACAGGAAGCAGCUUGCUGCUUUCGCUGACGAGUGGCGGACGGGUGAGUAAUGUCUGGGAAACUGCCUGAUGGAGGGGGAUAACUACUGGAAACGGUAGCUAAUACCGCAUAACGUCGCAAGACCAAAGAGGGGGACCUUCGGGCCUCUUGCCAUCGGAUGUGCCCAGAUGGGAUUAGCUUGUUGGUGGGGUAACGGCUCACCAAGGCGACGAUCCCUAGCUGGUCUGAGAGGAUGACCAGCCACACUGGAACUGAGACACGGUCCAGACUCCUACGGGAGGCAGCAGUGGGGAAUAUUGCACAAUGGGCGCAAGCCUGAUGCAGCCAUGCCGCGUGUAUGAAGAAGGCCUUCGGGUUGUAAAGUACUUUCAGCGGGGAGGAAGGGAGUAAAGUUAAUACCUUUGCUCAUUGACGUUACCCGCAGAAGAAGCACCGGCUAACUCCGUGCCAGCAGCCGCGGUAAUACGGAGGGUGCAAGCGUUAAUCGGAAUUACUGGGCGUAAAGCGCACGCAGGCGGUUUGUUAAGUCAGAUGUGAAAUCCCCGGGCUCAACCUGGGAACUGCAUCUGAUACUGGCAAGCUUGAGUCUCGUAGAGGGGGGUAGAAUUCCAGGUGUAGCGGUGAAAUGCGUAGAGAUCUGGAGGAAUACCGGUGGCGAAGGCGGCCCCCUGGACGAAGACUGACGCUCAGGUGCGAAAGCGUGGGGAGCAAACAGGAUUAGAUACCCUGGUAGUCCACGCCGUAAACGAUGUCGACUUGGAGGUUGUGCCCUUGAGGCGUGGCUUCCGGAGCUAACGCGUUAAGUCGACCGCCUGGGGAGUACGGCCGCAAGGUUAAAACUCAAAUGAAUUGACGGGGGCCCGCACAAGCGGUGGAGCAUGUGGUUUAAUUCGAUGCAACGCGAAGAACCUUACCUGGUCUUGACAUCCACAGAACUUUCCAGAGAUGGAUUGGUGCCUUCGGGAACUGUGAGACAGGUGCUGCAUGGCUGUCGUCAGCUCGUGUUGUGAAAUGUUGGGUUAAGUCCCGCAACGAGCGCAACCCUUAUCCUUUGUUGCCAGCGGUCCGGCCGGGAACUCAAAGGAGACUGCCAGUGAUAAACUGGAGGAAGGUGGGGAUGACGUCAAGUCAUCAUGGCCCUUACGACCAGGGCUACACACGUGCUACAAUGGCGCAUACAAAGAGAAGCGACCUCGCGAGAGCAAGCGGACCUCAUAAAGUGCGUCGUAGUCCGGAUUGGAGUCUGCAACUCGACUCCAUGAAGUCGGAAUCGCUAGUAAUCGUGGAUCAGAAUGCCACGGUGAAUACGUUCCCGGGCCUUGUACACACCGCCCGUCACACCAUGGGAGUGGGUUGCAAAAGAAGUAGGUAGCUUAACCUUCGGGAGGGCGCUUACCACUUUGUGAUUCAUGACUGGGGUGAAGUCGUAACAAGGUAACCGUAGGGGAACCUGCGGUUGGAUCACCUCCUUA
This 1543-nucleotide ribosomal RNA is filed under the name Escherichia coli. Its description in RNAcentral is "bacterial SSU rRNA". It matches the Rfam family "Bacterial small subunit ribosomal RNA". The record is from RNAcentral. Lineage: Bacteria; Pseudomonadati; Pseudomonadota; Gammaproteobacteria; Enterobacterales; Enterobacteriaceae.